Molecule: ribosomal RNA, 589 nt
Filed under: uncultured Tomentella
Lineage: Eukaryota; Fungi; Basidiomycota; Agaricomycetes; Thelephorales; Thelephoraceae
Description: eukaryotic LSU rRNA
Rfam family: 5.8S ribosomal RNA (bases 166-320)
Source: RNAcentral
CUGGGGGCUCGUGCGCACUCUGUUUACACAUCCACUCACACCUGUGCGCCCUUUGUAGUUCUAUGGCCUUGGGGACCCCGUCCCCUUGCUGUGGUCCUACGUCUUUACACACACACCGUAACAAAGUCUCAUGGAAUGUAUGUCGCGUUUAACGCAAUACAAUACAACUUUCAGCAACGGAUCUCUUGGCUCUCGCAUCGAUGAAGAACGCAGCGAAAUGCGAUAAGUAAUGUGAAUCGCAGAAUUCAGUGAAUCAUCGAAUCUUUGAACGCACCUUGCGCCCUUUGGCUAUUCCGAAGGGCAUGCCUGUUUGAGUAUCAUGAACACCUCAACUCUCGUGGNCCGCCAUGAUGAGCUUGGACUUUGGGGGUCUUGCCGGCCUAGUGUCGGCUCCUCUCAAAUGGAUCAGCUUGCCAGUGUUUGGUGGCGUCACAGGUGUGAUAACUAUCUACGCUUGUGGUUCUACGCCAUGUAACCUUCAGUGAUGGAGGUUCGCUGGAGCUCACAGAUGUCUCUCCUGGGAGGACAGCUCUUUGAACGUUCGAUCUCAAAUCAAGUAGGACUACCCGCUGAACUUAAGCAUAUCAAU